This 327-nucleotide RNase P RNA is filed under the name Monodon monoceros (narwhal). RNAcentral's name for it is "Nuclear RNase P (ENSMMNG00015015141.1)". It matches the Rfam family "Nuclear RNase P". Rfam says of the family: Ribonuclease P (RNase P) is a ubiquitous endoribonuclease, found in archaea, bacteria and eukarya as well as chloroplasts and mitochondria. Its best characterised activity is the generation of mature 5'-ends of tRNAs by cleaving the 5'-leader elements of precursor-tRNAs. Lineage: Eukaryota; Metazoa; Chordata; Mammalia; Artiodactyla; Monodontidae. The record is from RNAcentral.
GGAGGGAAGCUCGUGGGUGGGGCCGUGAGCUGAGUGGGUUUAGUCACUCUACCCCAUGGCUCAUGGGAAGGUGUGAGACUAGGGCCAAAAUCGGCCCCAACAGGGCCCUCCUUGAGCUUCAGGGAGGUGAGUUCCCGGGGCGGGGGGGGGUGAAGAUCAGAGUUUGCUAAACAGGGCUCCUCUCAAGGAACCCAGCUCACUGAGUCUACAGGCAUCAGCUGGCCACUGUUGCUUUGCUCUACAGGAGUCAGGUCUUCGGGAACCAGCACAAAUGUUGUUACUCUGGCUGCUGCUAUUGCUGUGAUUAAUAAACUGUUCUUUGUCUCU